AGAGUUUGAUCCUGGCUCAGGACGAACGCUGGCGGCACGCUUAACACAUGCAAGUCGAACGAGAGAAGAGGAGCUUGCUUUUCUGAUCUAGUGGCGGACGGGUGAGUAACACGUGAGCAAUCUGCCUUUCAGAGGGGGAUACCGAUUGGAAACGAUCGUUAAUACCGCAUAACAUAAUUGAACCGCAUGAUUUGAUUAUCAAAGAUUUAUCGCUGAAAGAUGAGCUCGCGUCUGAUUAGCUAGUUGGUAAGGUAACGGCUUACCAAGGCGACGAUCAGUAGCCGGACUGAGAGGUUGAUCGGCCACAUUGGGACUGAGACACGGCCCAGACUCCUACGGGAGGCAGCAGUGGGGAAUAUUGCACAAUGGAGGAAACUCUGAUGCAGCGAUGCCGCGUGAGGGAAGAAGGUUUUAGGAUUGUAAACCUCUGUCUUCAGGGACGAAAAAAGACGGUACCUGAGGAGGAAGCUCCGGCUAACUACGUGCCAGCAGCCGCGGUAAUACGUAGGGAGCGAGCGUUGUCCGGAAUUACUGGGUGUAAAGGGAGCGUAGGCGGGAUCGCAAGUCAGAUGUGAAAACUAUGGGCUUAACCCAUAAACUGCAUUUGAAACUGUGGUUCUUGAGUGAAGUAGAGGUAAGCGGAAUUCCUAGUGUAGCGGUGAAAUGCGUAGAUAUUAGGAGGAACAUCAGUGGCGAAGGCGGCUUACUGGGCUUUAACUGACGCUGAGGCUCGAAAGCGUGGGGAGCAAACAGGAUUAGAUACCCUGGUAGUCCACGCCGUAAACGAUGAUUACUAGGUGUGGGGGGACUGACCCCUUCCGUGCCGCAGCAAACGCAAUAAGUAAUCCACCUGGGGAGUACGACCGCAAGGUUGAAACUCAAAGGAAUUGACGGGGGCCCGCACAAGCAGUGGAGUAUGUGGAUUAAUUCGAAGCAACGCGAAGAACCUUACCAGGUCUUUACAUCGUAUGCAUAGCUCAGAGAUGAGUGAAAUCUCUUCGGAGACAUAUAGACAGGUGGUGCAUGGUUGUCGUCAGCUCGUGUCGUGAGAUGUUGGGUUAAGUCCCGCAACGAGCGCAACCCUUACUGUUAGUUGCUACGCAAGAGCACUCUAGCAGGACUGCCGUUGACAAAACGGAGGAAGGUGGGGAUGACGUCAAAUCAUCAUGCCCCUUAUGACCUGGGCCUCACACGUACUACAAUGGCUGUCAACAGAGGGAAGCAAAGCCGCGAGGUGGAGCGAACCCCUAAAAGCAGUCUUAGUUCGGAUUGUAGGCUGCAACCCGCCUACAUGAAGUCGGAAUUGCUAGUAAUCGCAGAUCAGCAUGCUGCGGUGAAUACGUUCCCGGGCCUUGUACACACCGCCCGUCACGCCAUGGGAGUCGGUAACACCCGAAGCCUGUAGUCUAACCGCAAGGAGGACGCAGUCGAAGGUGGGAUUGAUGACUGGGGUGAAGUCGUAACAAGGUA
Molecule: ribosomal RNA, 1470 nt
Filed under: metagenome
Description: bacterial SSU rRNA
Rfam family: Bacterial small subunit ribosomal RNA
Source: RNAcentral